RNAcentral lists this ribosomal RNA (882 nucleotides) under uncultured bacterium. RNAcentral describes it as "bacterial SSU rRNA". It matches the Rfam family "Bacterial small subunit ribosomal RNA", at positions 35 to 907 of the family's 1533-position model. The record is from RNAcentral.
GCUAGCUACAGGCUUAACACAUGCAAGUCGAGGGGAAACGAUAUUGGAAGCUUGCUUCCGAUAGGCGUCGACCGGCGCACGGGUGAGUAACGCGUAUCCAACCUGCCCACCACUUGGGGAUAACCUUGCGAAAGUAAGACUAAUACCCAAUGAUAUCUCUAGAAGACAUCUGAAGGAGAUUAAAGAUUUAUCGGUGAUGGAUGGGGAUGCGUCUGAUUAGCUUGUUGGCGGGGUAACGGCCCACCAAGGCUACGAUCAGUAGGGGUUCUGAGAGGAAGGUCCCCCACAUUGGAACUGAGACACGGUCCAAACUCCUACGGGAGGCAGCAGUGAGGAAUAUUGGUCAAUGGGCGAGAGCCUGAACCAGCCAAGUAGCGUGCAGGAUGACGGCCCUAUGGGUUGUAAACUGCUUUUAUAAGGGAAUAAAGUGAGAGUCGUGACUCUUUUUGCAUGUACCUUAUGAAUAAGGACCGGCUAAUUCCGUGCCAGCAGCCGCGGUAAUACGGAAGGUCCGGGCGUUAUCCGGAUUUAUUGGGUUUAAAGGGAGCGUAGGCCGGAGAUUAAGCGUGUUGUGAAAUGUAGAUGCUCAACAUCUGCACUGCAGCGCGAACUGGUUUCCUUGAGUACGCACAAAGUGGGCGGAAUUCGUGGUGUAGCGGUGAAAUGCUUAGAUAUCACGAAGAACUCCGAUUGCGAAGGCAGCUCACUGGAGCGCAACUGACGCUGAAGCUCGAAAGUGCGGGUAUCGAACAGGAUUAGAUACCCUGGUAGUCCGCACGGUAAACGAUGGAUGCCCGCUGUUGGUCUGAAUAGGUCAGCGGCCAAGCGAAAGCAUUAAGCAUCCCACCUGGGGAGUACGCCGGCAACGGUGCAACUCAAAGG